UGAGAGAUUUAGUCGCCAUAAUGC
Molecule: non-coding RNA, 24 nt
Filed under: Arabidopsis thaliana (thale cress)
Lineage: Eukaryota; Viridiplantae; Streptophyta; Magnoliopsida; Brassicales; Brassicaceae
Source: RNAcentral